This 1447-nucleotide ribosomal RNA is filed under the name uncultured bacterium. RNAcentral describes it as "bacterial SSU rRNA". It matches the Rfam family "Bacterial small subunit ribosomal RNA". The record is from RNAcentral.
AGAGUUUGAUCAUGGCUCAGGAUGAACGCUGGCGGCGUGCUUAACACAUGCAAGUCGAACGAACCUUCGGGUUAGUGGCGGACGGGUGAGUAACGCGUGGGAACCUGCCCUCAAGAGGGGGAUAACGGCUGGAAACGGCCGCUAAUACCCCAUAUGCCGAGAGGUGAAAUGAAAUUCGCCUGAGGAUGGGCCCGCGUCUGAUUAGCUAGUUGGUGGGGUAAGGGCCUACCAAGGCGACGAUCAGUAGCUGGUCUGAGAGGAUGAUCAGCCACACUGGGACUGAGACACGGCCCAGACUCCUACGGGAGGCAGCAGUGGGGAACUUUCCGCAAUGGGCGAAAGCCUGACGGAGCAACGCCGCGUGAGGGAUGAAGGCCUCUGGGCUGUAAACCUCUUUUCUCAAGGAAGAAGACCUGACGGUACUUGAGGAAUAAGCCACGGCUAAUUCCGUGCCAGCAGCCGCGGUAAUACGGGAGUGGCAAGCGUUAUCCGGAAUUAUUGGGCGUAAAGCGUCCGCAGGCGGCCUUGUAAGUCUGUCGUUAAAGCGUGGAGCUUAACUCCAUUUAAGCGAUGGAAACUACAAGGCUUGAGUGUGGUAGGGGCAGAGGGAAUUCCCGGUGUAGCGGUGAAAUGCGUAGAUAUCGGGAAGAACACCAGUGGCGAAAGGCGCUCUGCUGGGCCAUAACUGACGCUCAUGGACGAAAGCCAGGGGAGCGAAAGGGAUUAGAUACCCCUGUAGUCCUGGCCGUAAACGAUGAACACUAGGUGUCGGGGGAAUCGACCCCCUCGGUGUCGUAGCCAACGCGUUAAGUGUUCCGCCUGGGGAGUACGCACGCAAGUGUGAAACUCAAAGGAAUUGACGGGGGCCCGCACAAGCGGUGGAGUAUGUGGUUUAAUUCGAUGCAACGCGAAGAACCUUACCAGGGUUUGACAUCCUGCGAACCCCUGAGAAAUCGGGGGGUGCCUUCGGGAACGCAGAGGCAGGUGGUGCAUGGCUGUCGUCAGCUCGUGUCGUGAGAUGUUGGGUUAAGUCCCGCAACGAGCGCAACCCACGUCUUUAGUUGCCAGCAUUCAGUUGGGCACUCUAGAGAGACCGCCGGUGAUAAACCGGAGGAAGGUGUGGAUGACGUCAAGUCAUCAUGCCCCUUACAUCCUGGGCUACACACGUACUACAAUGCUACGGACAAAGGGCAGCAAGCUCGCGAGAGCAAGCAAAUCCCAUAAACCGUGGCUCAGUUCAGAUCGUAGGCUGCAACUCGCCUACGUGAAGGAGGAAUCGCUAGUAAUCGCAGGUCAGCAUACUGCGGUGAAUACGUUCCCGGGCCUUGUACACACCGCCCGUCACACCAUGGAAGUUGGCCACGCCCGAAGUCGUUACUCCAACCCUUGUGGAGGAGGACGCCGAAGGUGGGGCUGAUGACUGGGGUGAAGUCGUAACAAGGUAACC